AUUGAACGCUGGCGGCAUGCCUUACACAUGCAAGUCGAACGGCAGCGGACCUUCGGGUGCCGGCGAGUGGCGAACGAGUGAGUAAUAUAUCGGAACGUACCUUUCAGUGGGGGAUAACGUAGCGAAAGUUACGCUAAUACCGCAUAUUCUGUGAGCAGGAAAGCAGGGGAUCGCAAGACCUUGCGCUGAUUGAGCGGCCGAUAUCAGAUUAGCUAGUUGGUGAGGUAAAGGCUCACCAAGGCGACGAUCUGUAGCGGGUCUGAGAGGAUGAUCCGCCACACUGGAACUGAGACACGGUCCAGACUCCUACGGGAGGCAGCAGUGGGGAAUUUUGGACAAUGGGCGCAAGCCUGAUCCAGCCAUGCCGCGUGAGUGAAGAAGGCCUCGGUUGUAAG
This 395-nucleotide ribosomal RNA is filed under the name uncultured bacterium. RNAcentral describes it as "bacterial SSU rRNA". It matches the Rfam family "Bacterial small subunit ribosomal RNA", at positions 30 to 429 of the family's 1533-position model. The record is from RNAcentral.